UCGGCGCCGCGAUGCUCUGCUUUUAUCCGAUGGGAUUCGGGGUGGGAUUUUUCUUUUUUUGUUAUUUUGAGGUAUUUGCUUUUUUUGCUGGCGCCGCCGCCGCCRCUGCGCGGGGCUCUGGCGCACCGAUAGCUUCCGAUCGCGGGGACCCCGAAGGGAAAGUAGCACCGAUAAAUCCACGGAAAGGGAGGAAAAAGAAGGAAUUAAAAAAAAAGAAUGGCRAAAGGUGGACCCGAGCCCUGCGGCUGGGGGGGCGCGCGGGGCGCCCGUGGGGUGGCGUGGUGGGUGCCGUGACGGGCACCGGGCCUGCGCACUGUGCCCGUGCACCGUGCACGCACACCAUGCACGCACAGUGCCCGAGCACCGUGCACGAGCACUGCACGCAUGCACCAUGCAUGCACACCGUGCAUGCACAUUGCCGGUGCACCGUGCACGAGCACUGCAUGCAUGCACCGUGCAUGCACACCAUGCAUACACAGUGCCGGUGCACCGUGCACGAGCACUGUGUGCAUGCACCGUGCACACACGCCAUGCACGAGCACUGUGCACAUGCACCGUGCACGCACGCUGCCUGGGCACCGUGCAUGAGCACUGGGCACAUGCACCGUGCAUGCACACCAUGCAUGCACAGUGCCCAGGCACCGUGCAUGAGCCCUGUGUGCAUGCAUUGUGCAUGCACACUAUGCAUGCACGGUGCCCGGGCACCGUGCACGAGCACUGCACGCAUGCAUCACGCACACACACUGUGCACACACACCGUGCCAGUAUACCUUGCCUGUGCACUGUGCACACCCACCGCGCACGCACACCCUGUAACACACCGUGCCCGUGCACUGUGCAUGAACCCUGUGCAUCGUGCACACACACCAUGCCACGCACCGUGCCCGUGCACGGUGCACAGGGCACCGUGCACGCACACCAUGUCACACGCUGUGUCCCUGCACCGUGCACACGCACCGUGCACACACACCGAGCUACACGCCGUGCGCGUGCACAGCGCAGGGACACUGUGCCACGCUCUGUGCCCAUGCACCAUGCACGCGCCCCGUGCCGCACGCCGUGCCCGUGCACGGCUCCCGUGCAGCAUGCCCGUGCCCUGGGCCACACACACACAAUGACACACACCGUGCCCAUGCACUGUGUACACGCACCAUGCCACGCACCAUGCCUGUGCACCGUGCACGCACACCGUGCCACUGCACCACGUCCAUGCACCAUGCCUGCACACCGUGCCAGGCACCGGGCCUCUGCACCGCGCCUGCACACCGUGCCUGCGUGGUGUGCCCACGCACCGUGCCUGCACACGGUGCCCUUGCACCACGCCGGCACGCUGUGUGCACUAUGCUUAUGCACUGUGUGUGUGUGCACGGUGCGUGGCACAAAGUGCCACACACCAUGCCGCACACCGUGCACGCACACCGUGCCUGUGCACCCUGCCUAUGCAYGSUGUGYGUGCACCACGUGGCACACCGUGCCCAUGCACCCUGCCUAUGCACGGUGUGCAUGCACCAUGUGGCACACUGCGCACGCACACCAUGCCUGUGCACCCUGCCUAUGCACGGUGUGCAUGCACCACAUCGUACACUGUGCAUGCACACCGUGCCCAUAUACCGUGCCUAUGCACAGUGUGCAUGCACCACGUCGCACACCGUGCCUGUAUACCGUGCCUACGCACAGCGUGCAUGCACCACGUNNNNNNNNNNNNNNNNNNNNNN
This 1715-nucleotide long non-coding RNA is filed under the name Apteryx rowi (Okarito brown kiwi). Its description in RNAcentral is "lncRNA (ENSARWG00000018114.1)". The record is from RNAcentral. Lineage: Eukaryota; Metazoa; Chordata; Aves; Apterygiformes; Apterygidae.